RNAcentral lists this ribosomal RNA (253 nucleotides) under uncultured bacterium. Its description in RNAcentral is "partial 16S ribosomal RNA". It matches the Rfam family "Bacterial small subunit ribosomal RNA", at positions 524 to 776 of the family's 1533-position model. The record is from RNAcentral.
UACAGAGGUCCCAAGCGUUGUUCGGAUUCACUGGGCGUAAAGGGUGCGUAGGCGGUCGGGUAAGUCUGAUGUGAAAUCUCACAGCUUAAUUGUGAAACUGCAUUGGAUACUAUCCGGCUCGAGGAAUGGAGGGGAGACUGGAAUACUUGGUGUAGCAGUGAAAUGCGUAGAUAUCAAGUGGAACACCAGUGGCGAAGGCGAGUCUCUGGACAUUUCCUGACGCUGAGGCACGAAAGCCAGGGGAGCAAACGGG